UUGUUGGUGGGGUAAUGGCCCACCAAGGCGACGACGGGUAGCCGGCCUGAGAGGGUGACCGGCCACACUGGGACUGAGAUACGGCCCAGACUCCUACGGGAGGCAGCAGUGGGGAAUAUUGCACAAUGGGCGCAAGCCUGAUGCAGCGACGCCGCGUGAGGGAUGACGGCCUUCGGGUUGUAAACCUCUUUCAGUAGGGACGAAGCGAAAGUGACGGUACCUACAGAAGAAGGACCGGCCAACUACGUGCCAGCAGCCGCGGUAAUACGUAGGGUCCGAGCGUUGUCCGGAAUUACUGGGCGUAAAGAGCUCGUAGGUGGUUUGUCGCGUUGUUCGUGAAAACUCACAGCUUAACUGUGGGCGUGCGGGCGAUACGGGCAGACUAGAGUACUGCAGGGGAGACUGGAAUUCCUGGUGUAGCGGUGGAAUGCGCAGAUAUCAGGAGGAACACCGGUGGCGAAGGCGGGUCUCUGGGCAGUAACUGACGCUGAGGAGCGAAAGCGUGGGUAGCGAACAGGAUUAGAUACCCUGGUAGUCCACGCCGUAA
RNAcentral lists this ribosomal RNA (547 nucleotides) under Mycobacteroides abscessus. RNAcentral's name for it is "bacterial SSU rRNA". It matches the Rfam family "Bacterial small subunit ribosomal RNA", at positions 246 to 805 of the family's 1533-position model. The record is from RNAcentral. Lineage: Bacteria; Bacillati; Actinomycetota; Actinomycetes; Mycobacteriales; Mycobacteriaceae.